GGGGAAUAUUGCACAAUGGGCGCAGUCCUGAUCCAGCCAUGCCGCGUGCAGGAUGACGGUCCUAUGGAUUGUAAACUGCUUUUAUACGAGAAGAAACACUCCGACGUGUCGGAGCUUGACGGUAUCGUAAGAAUAAGGAUCGGCUAACUCCGUGCCAGCAGCCGCGGUAAUACGGAGGAUCCAAGCGUUAUCCGGAAUCAUUGGGUUUAAAGGGUCCGUAGGCGGUUUAAUAAGUCAGUGGUGAAAGCCCAUCGCUCAACGGUGGAACGGCCAUUGAUACUGUUAGACUUGAAUUAUUAGGAAGUAACUAGAAUAUGUAGUGUAGCGGUGAAAUGCUUAGAGAUUACAUGGAAUACCAAUUGCGAAGGCAGGUUACUACUAAUGGAUUGACGCUGAUGGACGAAAGCGUGGGUAGCGAACAGGAUUAGAUACCCUGGUAGUCCACGCCGUAAACGAUGGAUACUAGCUGUUGGAAGUAAUUUCAGUGGCUAAGCGAAAGUGAUAAGUAUCCCACCUGGGGAGUACGUUCGCAAGAAUGAAACUCAAAGGAAUUGACGGGGGCCCGCACAAGCGGUGGAGCAUGUGGUUUAAUUCGAUGAUACGCGAGGAACCUUACCAAGGCUUAAAUGUAGAUUGACCGGUUUGGAAACAGAUCUUUUCGCAAGACAAUUUACAAGGUGCUGCAUGGUUGUCGUCAGCUCGUGCCGUGAGGUGUCAGGUUAAGUCCUAUAACGAGCGCCACCCCUGUUGUUAGUUGCCAGCGAGU
RNAcentral lists this ribosomal RNA (766 nucleotides) under uncultured bacterium. RNAcentral's name for it is "bacterial SSU rRNA". It matches the Rfam family "Bacterial small subunit ribosomal RNA", at positions 356 to 1126 of the family's 1533-position model. The record is from RNAcentral.